AUGAGAGACCUUCUUAAGUAUUGCAAAAGAAGGGGCCUGCUGAUAGAGCUGGGCGGGGAGGCGCUAGUUAUCAGGUCAGAGAGAGGCCUGGCCCGUAAGCUGGCCCCCUUUAAAAGCCAUUCCUUAUUAAUAAGGAUUUGUUACGCACGAUAUGCCGACGACUUACUACUGGGAAUCGUGGGUGCCGUAUUUCUUCUCAUAGAAAUACAAAAACGUAUCACCCACUUCCUACAAUCCGGUCUGAACCUUUGGGUAGGCUCCGCAGGAUCAACAACCAUAGUUGCACGGAGUACGGUAGAAUUCCCCGAUACGGUCAUUCGGGAAGUCCCCCCGAGGACGACUCCCAUACAAUUAUUGCAAGAGCUGGAGAAGCGUCUACGGGUAAAGCACCGUAUCCAUAUAACUGCCUGCCACCUACACUCCGCCAUCCAUUCCAUGUUUAGGGACCUAGGUUAUAGUAUCCCUAUCAAAGAGCUGACGAAGGGGAUGAGCGGAAGAGGUCGUCUACUGGACGUGGUUCAACUAGCGGAGACUCUUGGAAAAGAUGGACUAAAAAGUCCCCAAGUUAGCGUAUUAUGGGGGACCGUCAAGCACAUCCGGCAAAGAUCGAGGGGGAUCUCGUUGUUGCAUAGCUCAGGUCAGAGCAAGGUGCCAUCAGGCGUUCAACAGGCAGUCUCACGAUCGGGCAUGAGUGUCCUGAAGAAGAAAUUCUAUACUCCCUUUGGUCGGAAGGCGGCGGGGGAAGGAAGGGGACACUGGGCGGGAUCUUUCAGCAGCGAAUUCCCCAUACAGAUAGAGGCGCCUAUCAAAAAGAUACUCCGAAGGCUUCGGGAUCGAGGUCUCAUUAGCCGAAGAAGACCCAGGCCAAUCCACGUGGCCUCUUUGACCAACGUCAGCGACAGAGACAUAGUAAAUUGGUCCGCGGGCAUCGCGAUAAGUCCUCUGUCCUACUACAGGUGCUGCGACAACCUUUACCAAGUCCGAACGAUUGUCAACUACCAGAUCCGCUGGUCCGCUAUAUUCACCCUAGCCCACAGCACAAAUCUUCGGCGCGGAAUAUAA
RNAcentral lists this ribosomal RNA (1062 nucleotides) under Triticum aestivum (bread wheat). RNAcentral's name for it is "partial small subunit ribosomal RNA". Lineage: Eukaryota; Viridiplantae; Streptophyta; Magnoliopsida; Poales; Poaceae. The record is from RNAcentral.